AACAUGUGCGCUUGUCACGGCGGAACGUCGCGGUCGAAGACUCGUUAGAAACGACCAUGUUCAACGUCGAUUUGCAACACCAAGACGUGUAUUCGUUGUCUUAUUCUGAUCGGCUAACCCGUGGUUGCGUAAAGUGAAACAAUAUGCCACCAGAAGUUUGAGCAAGGUGUCGUUAACAUCACUGCUUCGAGUCACCAUUUUGUCGGAGCUUUCCCGCCAAGCUGACCAGCGAACAAGUUUUGUGGAUUUUGCUGUCAGGUAGCAAGCAGAAGUACCCAGACGAACUGUGCAGUGCUGAUAACAUGGUGAGCCAAGCAUCCCAAAAGAGGUGCUUAUUCAGCAUCUGUGGCUAACUCAAAGGAAGCACCUCCCAAAAGCAGUGCUACAAGGAAGUGAGCCACAAGUUCUUUUCAACGAACAGAUCAGAUGCCUGAGAGCCACGGGCCGGCUGCUUCUGGCCUACACAGGCAGGGCAGCCACCACAGUAAAGUUCUUGCAAAGACCAUCUUGCUAAUUCAUACAGAGUGCUCCAGCAAUCGCCUUCUACAUUAUACAAAUACUGUCCCAAAGGCUGACAGAAGGCUGUACAGAUGGACACACAGAAGACGUCGGACUGCCUGAGAAACUGUGUCUGAGCGU
Molecule: long non-coding RNA, 639 nt
Organism: Rhipicephalus microplus (southern cattle tick)
Lineage: Eukaryota; Metazoa; Arthropoda; Arachnida; Ixodida; Ixodidae
Source: RefSeq, a predicted model, not a curated record